AAGUCCCGUAACGAGCGCAACCCUUGUCCGUAGUUGCCAUCAUUUAGUUGGGAACUCUACGGAGACCGCCGGUGACAAACCGGAGGAAGGUGGGGAUGACGUCAAGUCAUCAUGGCCCUUAUGACCAGGGCUACACACGUGCUACAAUGGCCGGUACAAAGGGCUGCCAACCCGCGAGGGGGAGCCAAUCCCAGAAAGCCGGUCGUAGUCCGGAUCGGAGUCUGCAACUCGACUCCGUGAAGUCGGAAUCGCUAGUAAUCGCGAAUCAGCAACGUCGCGGUGAAUACGUUCCCGGGUCUUGUACACACCGCCCGU
Molecule: ribosomal RNA, 315 nt
Filed under: uncultured soil bacterium
Lineage: Bacteria
Description: bacterial SSU rRNA
Rfam family: Bacterial small subunit ribosomal RNA
Source: RNAcentral